RNAcentral lists this ribosomal RNA (903 nucleotides) under uncultured archaeon. Its description in RNAcentral is "bacterial SSU rRNA". It matches the Rfam family "Archaeal small subunit ribosomal RNA", at positions 21 to 903 of the family's 1478-position model. The record is from RNAcentral.
CCCGACUGCUAUCGGAUUGAGAUUAAGCCAUGCGAGUUAUACGCCUUUCGUCUGUGAGAGGUGUGGCACACGGCUCAGUAACACGUUGCCAACCUACCCUGGAGACGCAAAUAACCCCGGGAAACUGGGACUAAUAUGUGAUAGGUCAUUUCUACUGGAAUGCGUUAUGACUGAAAGGGUUGUGGAAGCAUGUUUUCACAAUUGCUCUAGGAUGGGGCAGCGUCCGAUCAGGUUGUUGGUGGGGUAACGGCCCACCAAGCCUGUAACCGGUGCGGGCUUUGAGAGAAGGAGCCCGGAGAUGGACACUGAGACAAGGGUCCAGGCCCUACGGGGCGCAGCAGGCGCGAAAACUUCGCAAUGUGCGAAAGCGCGACGAGGUUAAUCCGAGUGCCGCCCGCUGAGGGCGGCUUUUCUCAGGUGUAAAUGGUCUGAGGAAUAAGGGGAGGGAAAGCCUGGUGUCAGCCGCCGCGGUAAUACCAGCUCCCCGAGUGGUCGGGACGUUUAUUGGGCCUAAAGCAUCCGUAGCCCGCCCUGUUGGUCCCAGGUUAAAUCCAAUCGCUCAACGAUUGGGCCGCAUGGGAUACCGCAGGGCUAGGAGGCGGGAGAGGCGGACGGUACUCCGCGGGUAGGGGUAAAAUCCACUGAUCCGCGGAAGACCACCAGUGGCGAAGGCGGUCCGCCAGAACGCGCUCGACGGUGAGGGAUGAAAGCUGGGGGAGCAAACCGGAUUAGAUACCCGGGUAGUCCCAGCUGUAAACGAUGCGAGCUAGGUGAUGGAGUGGCUACGUGCCAUUCCAGUGCCGCAGGGAAGCCGUUAAGCCCGCCGCCUGGGGAGUACGGUCGCAAGGCCGAAACUUAAAGGAAUUGGCGGGGGAGCACCACAAGGGGUGAAGCCUGCGGUUC